CCUACGUGGGGCUGCAGUGGGGAAUAUUGCACGAUGGGCGCAAGCCUGAUGCAGCGACGCCGCGUGAGGGAUGACGGCCUUCGGGUUGUAAACCUCUGUUAGCAUCGAAGAAGCGAAAGUGACGGUAGGUGCAGAGAAAGCGCCGGCUAACUACGUGCCAGCAGCCGCGGGAAUACGUAGGGCGCGAGCGUUGUCCGGAAUUAUUGGGCGUAAAGAGCUUGUAGGCGGUUGGUCGCGUCUGCUGUGAAAGGCCGGGGCUUAACUCCGGUUUUGCAGUGGGUACGGGCUAACUAGAGUGCAGUAGGGGAGACUGGAAUUCCUGGUGUAGCGGUGGAAUGCACAGAUAUCAGGAGGAACACCGAUGGCGAAGGCAGGUCUCUGGGCUGUAACUGACGCUGAGAAGCGAAAGCAUGGGGAGCGAACAGGAUUAGAUACCCUUGUAGUC
RNAcentral lists this ribosomal RNA (445 nucleotides) under uncultured Rothia sp. Its description in RNAcentral is "bacterial SSU rRNA". It matches the Rfam family "Bacterial small subunit ribosomal RNA", at positions 338 to 795 of the family's 1533-position model. Lineage: Bacteria; Bacillati; Actinomycetota; Actinomycetes; Micrococcales; Micrococcaceae. The record is from RNAcentral.